This is a long non-coding RNA of Coffea arabica (coffee), 1571 nucleotides long. RefSeq lists it as uncharacterized. NCBI's taxonomy places the organism in Eukaryota, Viridiplantae, Streptophyta, Magnoliopsida, Gentianales, Rubiaceae. The record is from RefSeq and is a predicted model, not a curated record.
AUACCAUAGCGUUGUAAAUCAAGAAUAUACAAUAAGUGAAGAAUAGGGUCAAGAAGAGGACCACCGUGGCUUUUGGUUUUGGGCAACAAAUUGUCAAAUUAUAAUGAAUUUUUUUUUUAAGCAUUAGCUACUUGUCAUACACGGCCGGCCGCACACGAAAAUGAUAUCAUGCUUGAAUCCCAACACCCACCGCCCUCCACCCCUCUUUUCUCUCCAAAAUAAAAUAUAACACCGUCUUCUCUUCUCGCCUCUGUCUCUACAAUGUACAUACAUCCACUCAUUUUUUAUAAUUUUCUUUUUUUUUCUUCUGGCGGACAGCCCACGGAUACACACACUACACGCACCGAUGUAACGUAUAAAACCCUUCUCAUUUUUUGCUUUUUUUCUUUCUUUUUAAAAAAAAAAAAAAAAAUUCUGUCCUCCACAAGUCUCCUAACUGAUCCCAAAGCAAUAUGAUGACAACAAGCAAAGGUGGAACAACUGCCCCUCCAGCAACAUCUCAGCCUAGCCAAGAUGAACAGCAACGACAACGAGAGUGCUGCAUGUGUGGCGAUUUUGGCCUAUCUUCUGAGCUUUUCAGAUGCAAAAUUUGCCAAUUCCGAUCUCAACAUAGGUAUUGCAGCAAUACAUAUCCAAGAGCGGAGUCUUAUCGCGCUUGCAAUUGGUGCCUGAAUGAGAAGGAAAAUUCAUUCAACUCUUCUUCAUCGAAUAAAAAUGCUACUAGCACGAAGACGACGUGAUGAAGGUCGCCAAGAAGAAGAGUGUUCAUGGGGCAACGGCGGCGGUAACGGCAAUCUUCAAAGAAGUAAUAGUAGCAUCAAGAGCGAAAAAGGGUCUCCGAAGUUGAGUGUCAUUAUUAAAAAUAACCGUUCCAUCAAGAAACAAAAGUCACCGGAGAGAUCAUCGCCGUUAUUAGCCGCCCGAAAGAGGAUUACCACGGGUAGUGCUGUCCAGGAGAGUUUGAGGAGGACAAAAUCGGACAUAUCAAAUAGCGGGAUGAAGAAACACGUUUUCAAGAAUAGAGUUAGAAGAUAUAAGCUGUUGGAUGAGGUUUCAAGCUAGGUAAGUCAUGAUCAAGUGUAUAGGAAUAUGAUACUACACCCUUCCCUUUUUUUUUUUUUUAACCUUCCCUCCUUCUCAUCUCAUCUGGGCUGUAGCAGCUCAUCAAUAUUUGCCUUUUCUUUAUCUCCGGUGGUGUCAAUGACCCCACGAGGCUGUUGACGGAAGAAUAUACUAAAAGAAAUGGGGUUUAUCGUACAGACCGCAGAGCGCUGGAUCUUGAUAUAAGAGAUGACGAGAAUCCACAUGUAUAUGAAUGGAAGGUGAAUCUGAGUUUUGACAAUCUUCUAAACUGAACAAAUGUAUAUCGCGCAUAUUAAUUAUCCCAAAAAGUGGAAAAGAAAAAGACGAAAGUUGCAAUUUAAUUUGGCAGCACAAAAGUUGUUAUACAAGUUCGGCUUGUGAAAGAUCUUUUUAUUUUCUAGGAUCAUUCACAUGAAAUUAAGUUUCUUGAAUCCUUUUAUCUUAGCUAUAGCAUGUAUGUGGUUAUGCUACUAGAUUUCCUUGGAGCU